GUAAUACCAAAAAUUAAAAGAUGAAGGCGGCUGCACACUAAUAAGCCUGCGUUUACCACGUGGCGCAUUUCGAUAGUAGUAAUGUUUAAGAUGAAUUGACCAAUAAUAAUAAUAAAAUAAAUACAUGGAGAAGUUGCUUAUAAUAAAAUAAAUACAUGGAGAAGUUGCUUAUAAAUAUUCGUUCGAAAAAAUCAAGCUAACCAAACUCGAUUUGGAAUCUUGCUCGACUCAUUAAUUAAAUGAGCCUCAAUCAAAUUUUAUUUUAUACUAAAUAAAUUUUGUGAACCAAAUUUAAACAACUCAAUACUCGGAUAGACUCGAUUCGUUUACACCCAAAACUACCAUAACAAUUAAAAAAAAUUAAUAAAUUCACAACAAAAAAUAAUAUUUUCACACAAAAAUCAUCAUAUAUACACCAUGAAACAGAGUAGUGGACAAAUUUAGUGUGAAAUUUGAUUAUGUAACUGACCAUAUAUUAUCCCACACUCUUUUCACUACAUAAUAAUUUCCCAAAUCACCAAAAAAAAUAAAAACAAAUUUUAAUUUAACAAUAUAACAAUGAAAAAGGAAAAAAAAAAUUAUAAAUUUAACUCCUACCAGAAACAAGAAGAAGGCCAAGAAAGGCCAUUUGAUCUGCAACAGUUGUUGUUUUGGAGGCGAAGAAACUUUCUCUUCCUAGUAGAGUAAAAAAAGAAGCCAUGUUUGAGCCUGAACCAGACAAUCUUCCGGAGCUUUCGGACGGAUCUAAGCCUGACCCGAAUGACCUUCUUGACCCCAAAGAAAGAUUUCUUGAUUCUCUCUGAAAGGCUCUGUUUUCUGGAGAAGUGGUAACUCCUGAUAAAAAGCUGCCUCUUUUCCAUAUCUGUGUAACCCAUUUCGGGCCUGAAUAUUGGGACUAAACCCAUUUGACUUGCAGCCAUUUUUGUCUGUAGAUUUUGCAAAUUUUUAUUAUGUAGAAACAGGGAGAAAAACAGAACACAAAAGAGAAGAAAAAAGAAGGGAGAGGAGAGAGAAAUUAGUGCGAGAAUAGGGAAUUGAGCAGCCGAGCAGGGGUUAUAAAUGAGUUGUUCGAGUGGGAUGGGAUUAGCAUAAAUUUAACUUAAUAAUAAUUUAAUAUGUACAGAUUAUUUUUUGAUCAGUGUAUUAUAUUAUAUUCAUCAAUUAAUUAAAAUUAAUUUUAUAUUAAUCGAUCGAUGUUUGGACUUUGAGUCUCUUAUUUUUAACCUUUUAUUUUUUUUAUUCAACCGUCUUUUAUUAUUUAUCUUUUUAGGAUACAUAUAUUCCCUCCGUUCCAUGAUAAAAAAAUUUAUUAUUAUUUUAGGUAAUUCUAUAUUAAAUGUCUAUUUUUUUUUAAUGAUUAAACUUUUACACAUUUUUUUUAAGGAAUUAUUAAAUCCAUAACACUUUUUAUUAUUUUCACAACAAAAGUGUCAUUGUAGAUAUAUAGCGACGGUGAAAAUCAUCGCUAUAUGAUCUAUAACGACACUUUUGUUGUGAAAAUAACAUUUUAUGUUGUGGAUUUAACAAUUUCUUUUUUCUUAUUAUGUCUGUAGCAUUAAAUAUCUCAUACUUUUCUUAUUCUAAUUCUCUCCAUAUUUAAUAAGUAUGGAGAGAGAAUAUUUUGAAUUGAAUAGCUAAAAAAUUAUUUUCUCAUCUACAUUGAAAAUUAUUAAUGACAUAUUAUUAUGGAUAAUUUUGUUAUUUCAUUUCUCUUCUUAAUAUGUGUGAAAAAAUAAUAAAUGCUAUAUUUUUUUAGCUAAAAAUAAUUUUAAAUGUUAAUAUAAUCCUUGCAUUGAAAUAAAAAAAAGUAUUACUUAUUUGAUAGAAAAUAAUGAUAAAACCAAAAUUAUAUUUAAUACUUAUAUUAAUAUUAAAAACUAAAUAAUUAAUAAUUAAUUAAAAUUUUCAAAUAACAAAUAUUAAAAAACAAAAACAGUCUUUUAAAAUACUCCUUCCGUUCCUAAAAGAUUGUCGUUUUAGAAGAAAAAAUUUAUUUUAAAAAAUUUGUCGUUUACAACUUUCAAGAAAAAUAAAUUAUUUACUUUCCUAUAUUGCCUGUACCUUUUUUCAUUGUCCCAAAAAAUUUUCUUUUUUGUAUUAAUAGUUUUUAAUUUCUCAUAAAAGGAUAGUGAUAAAAUUUCAAAUAAAUUUUAUUUGAAAAAUGAUACUUUCUAAAAUCUUAAAUAACAAUAUUUUAGGAACGGAUGUAGUGACAUUUAAAAAGAGAAGGAAGGAGUAUGAUUAUUUUUUUUCUCAUUAAAUAUUGAUUCAUUAUUUAUCUGGACAAGUUAAAGUCAUACCCGCUUUAAAUUAUUGUUGCGUUGAGAUUUGAGGAGAAAGACAUGACGCGGUCGGAGUGGUGUACGCAAGUGUAUAGGAAAAGAUUUCUUCUUUUUAUUUAAUAUUUUUACGAAUAAAAAUAUUAAUUUCUCAAUAUUUAUUCAUGCGACAGAGUGAGAAAAAAAAUUAUAAAAUCAACAUUUUUACUUGUGUAGAUUUUUAUUUUUAUUUUUAUUUAGUUUGUGUUUAAUGAUUCAGUCAUAAUUGUUUUUAGAGUUCAUUUGCUUGAAUCAUAUUUUUAGACUUCUUUUUUAUUUCAUAUUUUCUUAAUUGUAUUUAGAAAGGGUUAUGCAGAUUGUACAGAUCAUGUUUUUUAUAUGUAUCUAAAUUAUACCUAAAACACUAUUUUUUAUAAAAAUUUCAGUUAAAAUAAAUAUUAAAUAUUUUUUAAGAGGUACUACAAUAAAAAUAUCAGUAGAAUGUCGUUCAAAAAUAUACCCCUAAAAGGACUGUUUAUCGGACGAGUGGAAGUGGUUAGUAUGAAGUUUAUUUUUGGGUAAGUUGGUCAAUUGAUCAAUAGAGUGCUGACACGCAGGCGAAGUUUUAUGUAUGUCAGUAUUUUAUUAGUUAAUUGACCAAUUUAUUAAAAAAUAAACUUCAUGUUAACCGGAUUCUAUUUUAUACGUGGGACGGGGUGGGUACUACUUUAUAUAUUGGUGAUUGGUGGGUAAGGGUGUAAACGAACCGAGUCGAUCCGAGUAUUGAGUUGCUCAAAUUUGGUUCACAAAAUUUAUCGAGUAUAAAAUAAAGUUUAAUUGAGGUUCAUUUAGCUAUCGAGUCGAGCACAAUUUCGAAUCGAGCCCGAGCAGUUUGAACUUUUCGAACGAAUAUGAUCCGAGUAUCAAUAGAAAAUUACAAUUUUAGUAGAUUCGAGUAAUUUAUCGAACUUUAAAAUGUGCUCAUAUUUGACUCAUUUAUAUUUCGAGUCGAGCUCGAAUCGAAUUUUUAGUCGAGCGAGUACGAAUCGAGCCCGAACUAUUUGCUCAUUUUACAGCUUUAUUGGUGUGGUGGGGUGUGGGGUGUCACGUGACGUUAGUGAGUUUUAUUUAUAUGUUUGUCGUUUUGCCUUUAUUUUUCUCACACGUACACGUUUCUCUGUCUCUCCUCGUGAUGGUUCAAAAUGGGAUGCUGACGUAGAUAUCAAUCCACGUCACCUACUUUGACUUUUGGUAUUUCUUUUUUUUAUUUUAAAGUCACGUUUCUUUUUCUUUUCUCGUUUUUCAUGUUAUAUUUAAGGGAAUUAUUAAAUCCACAUCAUAUUUUAUUAUUUUCAUAAUAAAAGUAUCGUUGUAGAUGUAUAGCGAUAGUAAAAACCGUCGCUAUAGAAUCUAUAGCGACACUUUUGUUGUGAAAAUAACAUUUUUUAUUAUGAAUUUAAUAAUUUCCUAUAUUUAAUUCAAAAGUUGGAGGAGUGAGAAAACUGAAAAUUCACAAGAUGAGAAAAAUAAUAAUUUUGGUACUUAUUUUAUUCCAUAUCCUUCUCUCAAAAUGAUACACCUUCAUUCUAUAUAAAUAUAUAUAAAAAAUAAAAACAAAAAAUUCCUAUUGUAAAAUUUAUAAGCAGAUUUUUAUUUUUGUUUCAUAUUUAUCUUUGAAAGUAUAAAAUUUUAGCUUAAUCUUAAUAAUAUGAUGAUAAAAUUAUAAUAGUAAAUUUUAAGAUAUUGUGUCGUUUUAAAUAUAAUUUUUUUAUAAAUUUUUAUUGGGAGAUUCAAAAUGAGUUUAUUUUUCAAAUUAAUGAACAAAUCUUUGUUACAUUUUUCUGGUCAUAGACCAUCUUAUUAAAGUCAAACUGCCUUCAACAACUUUAGCUCUCGAAAAUGUUGUAUGACUUUUUAUAAUUUGACAUUCCUAAGAAUGUUAUUGGCACUCCCUGCCACUAGAGUAAUCCAAAUUAGAACACUGAUCCGGAGUAUUGAUUUUUUUGUACUUGCUAUCAUUGUCAGUAUUAAGGUAUCCAUGAACAAGACAACAACUGAUAUAUAUAUAACCCGGCUCUGUUUAGCGAACCGGUUAUAGCGAUGGAAAAACCGUCGUUAUAACAUAAAAAAAUCGAUUUUCUAUGCUAUAGCGACGGAAAAAAUCGUCGCUAUAGCCAGUUCAUUUUUAGUUCGCUCCUUCCGAUUUAUUAGAGAAGCGAAUUUUAUAUAUAUAUAUAUAUAUAUAUAUAUAUAUAUAUAUGUGUGUGUGUGUGUGUGUGUGUGUGUGUGUGUGUGUGUGUGUGUUCAGGGAGGUUCUCCAACGAGAACUUUUCCGUAUAUAUAUGUGUGUAAAUAUAUAUAGAUAUACGGUUCGUCUCUCUAGCGAACUAUAGGGAGAAAACUAAAAACGAACCGACUAUAGCGACGAUUUUAUCUGUCGUUUUUAGUUCGUUCCCUAUGAUUCGCUGCAUAUAGUCAGUCUAUAGAUAUAUAUGCAUCAUAUUUAUAAUCAAAGUUUGUUGUAGUCAACAGUCCAUCAAAUAAUUGGACAAACAUAUUUUUAACUAUCUUCUGUCCAGCUGUUUGACAUAUACGUCAAACAAACAAUUGAGUGAAUGCUAGUGUUAAAAUUCGUCUACACAACGAAUGUUAAAUUGUUAACUACAAUAAAUGUUAAUUGUGAACAUACCCAUAAACAUUAUAAAUGAGUUUGUAGUAUUAUGUAGAGGUUAAAAAUGGAUUCUGAGCUAAUGGAAGCUGGAUUAGAACCAUGAUUCUACUGCAUUUUGAGCUUGGUUUAUUACUUUAUUUGAUAAGUCAAUCAGCAUCUUCAAUAGCAAAAAAGAGAGUUUAAA
RNAcentral lists this long non-coding RNA (5113 nucleotides) under Panax ginseng (ginseng). Its description in RNAcentral is "long non-coding RNA (PGIN_LNC007786)". The stretch from base 2820 to 2941 matches the Rfam family "MIR6135 microRNA precursor family". Lineage: Eukaryota; Viridiplantae; Streptophyta; Magnoliopsida; Apiales; Araliaceae. The record is from RNAcentral.